Molecule: ribosomal RNA, 493 nt
Filed under: uncultured bacterium
Lineage: Bacteria
Description: bacterial SSU rRNA
Rfam family: Bacterial small subunit ribosomal RNA
Source: RNAcentral
AGAGUUUGAUUCUGGCUCAGGACGAACGCUGGCGGCGUGCUUAACACAUGCAAGUCGAGCGAUGAAGCUCUUCGGAAGUGGAUUAGCGGCGGACGGGUGAGUAACACGUGGGUAACCUACCUCAUAGAGGGGAAUAGCCUUCCGAAAGGAAGAUUAAUACCGCAUAAGAUUGUAAUAUCGCAUGAUAUAGCAAUUAAAGGAGCAAUCCGCUAUGAGAUGGACCCGCGUCGCAUUAGCUAGCUGGUGAGGUAACGGCCCACCAAGGCGACGAUGCGUAGCCGACCUGAGAGGGUGAUCGGCCACAUUGGGACUGAGACACGGCCCAGACUCCUACGGGAGGCAGCAGUGGGGAAUAUUGCACAAUGGGGGAAACCCUGAUGCAGCCAACGCCGCGUGAGUGAUGACGGUCUUCGGAUUGUAAAGCUCUGUCUUCAGGGACGAUAAUGACGGUACCUGAGGAGGAAGCCACGGCUAACUACGUGCCAGCCGCAGC